UACAGAGGGCUCAAGCGUUGUUCGGAUUCAUUGGGCGUAAAGGGCGUGUAGGCGGUGUGCUAAGUCGGGCGUGAAAUUUCGGAGCUUAACUCCGAAACUGCAUUCGAUACUGCCGUGCUUGAGGACUGGAGAGGAGACUGGAAUUUACGGUGUAGCAGUGAAAUGCGUAGAUAUCGUAAGGAAGACCAGUGGCGAAGGCGGGUCUCUGGACAGUUCCUGACGCUGAGGCACGAAGGCCAGGGGAGCAAACGGG
This 253-nucleotide ribosomal RNA is filed under the name uncultured bacterium. RNAcentral describes it as "partial 16S ribosomal RNA". It matches the Rfam family "Bacterial small subunit ribosomal RNA", at positions 524 to 776 of the family's 1533-position model. The record is from RNAcentral.